Molecule: long non-coding RNA, 439 nt
Filed under: Brassica rapa (field mustard)
Lineage: Eukaryota; Viridiplantae; Streptophyta; Magnoliopsida; Brassicales; Brassicaceae
Description: long non-coding RNA (BRAP_LNC005087)
Source: RNAcentral
UUGGUCAACUCGAUAGAUUUUGGGGCCAGAGUUUUUUGUUGAUGAGACCACUUGAAGUUACUUCACGUUCCUAGCAAGAGAUGAUCUUGCUCCUUUCUACUAAGCUGCAGAAUCUUAUAUACGAAGAGGGAUGAAUAUACAUUAGGCAUACUACUUAGAGAUUCAGGGAUAUGACCUCUGUUCAAUCUCGUGACUGAUAUUUGGAAUGUCGUCUUCUACUGUAAAACGUGGACGGCACUGCAACGAUACAUCUCUUUGCCACCAUAGCUAACGGUGGCUCCGUCGAAGUAAUGGUUCAUAGUUGUUGGGAGCCCAAACCCUGAAGAUUUAGAACAGUCUUAUCCGUAUAACAGAACAAAAUGUCAUGUGAAACAGUGAUGUUGCAGGAAAGUAAGUGAUAGAUAAUACCUUCGGAGGAGAUGAAUCUACAUACAUGUCC